Molecule: ribosomal RNA, 490 nt
Filed under: uncultured bacterium
Lineage: Bacteria
Description: partial 16S ribosomal RNA
Rfam family: Bacterial small subunit ribosomal RNA
Source: RNAcentral
AUUGAACGCUGGCGGCAGGCCUAACACAUGCAAGUCGAACGGUAACAGGAAGCAGCUUGCUGCUUUGCUGACGAGUGGCGGACGGGUGAGUAAUGUCUGGGAAACUGCCCGAUGGAGGGGGAUAACUACUGGAAACGGUAGCUAUAACCGCAUAAAGUCGCAACACCAGAGAGCAGGAGCUUAUGGCCUCUUGCCAUCUGAUGUGACCAGAUGGGAUUAGCUAGUAGGUGGGGUAACGGCUCACCUAGGCGACGAUCCCUAGCUGGUCUGAGAGGAUGACCAGCCACACUGGAACUGAGACACGGUCCAGACUCCUACGGGAGGCAGCAGUGGGGAAUAUUGCACAAUGGGCGCAAGCCUGAUGCAGCCAUGCCGCGUGUAUGAAGAAGGCCUUCGGGUUGUAAAGUACUUUUAGCGGGGAGGAAGAGAGGCAAGUUAAUACCUUGGCGUAUUGACGUUACCCGAAGAAGAAGCACCGGCUAACUCCGUG